CAGUAGCCGCGGGAAUACGAAGGGUGCAAGCGUUACUCGGAAUUACUGGGCGUAAAGCGCGCGUAGGCGGUUUGUUAAGUCUGUUGUGAAAUCCCCGGGCUCAACCUGGGAAUGGCAAUGGAUACUGGCAAGCUAGAGUGUGUCAGAGGAUGGUGGAAUUCCCUGUGUAGCGGUGAAAUGCGUAGAGAUCGGGAGGAACAUCAGUGGCGAAGGCGGCCAUCUGGGACAACACUGACGCUGAGGCACGAAAGCGUGGGGAGCAAACAGGAUUAGAGACCCCUGUAGUCCCUGUCUCUUAUAC
This 301-nucleotide ribosomal RNA is filed under the name uncultured bacterium. RNAcentral's name for it is "partial 16S ribosomal RNA". It matches the Rfam family "Bacterial small subunit ribosomal RNA", at positions 509 to 807 of the family's 1533-position model. The record is from RNAcentral.